Thalassophryne amazonica is the source of this 195-nucleotide long non-coding RNA. RefSeq lists it as uncharacterized. NCBI's taxonomy places the organism in Eukaryota, Metazoa, Chordata, Actinopteri, Batrachoidiformes, Batrachoididae. The record is from RefSeq and is a predicted model, not a curated record. The transcript has 3 exons.
CCAGAAAGUACAUCUGAGAUGCAAACUUAGAUUUGAUCUGUUUUGGUGAAAGAAUAGUCUUCCCCACUGUGCUCCACUAUGAAUCUAAGAGUGGUGAUGCAAGAUGUAUUUAUAUUAACAUUUCUAAACAGAUGUCCUUUCAACCCAGUGAAAAUAAUUUCUAUAACAUGCAAAAGGAAAUAAAAAGAUGAAACA